UAAUCACUUUAAUGUGAUGAUAAAAAUAAAUCUUAUAUAUAAUGUAAUAUGGAAUUUUAAUAUUAUUAAUCCAGUUAAAAAUUUUAAAGCUAAGUAUGAAAAUAUAUUUUAGAUAGUAUAAUAGCUUAGGUAAAUUAGGUGCCAGCAACCGCGGUCAGACUUAAUAAAUAAAUUUAUUGCUUGUAUUUUUAAACAAAACAUUAGAAAUAUUAAAAAUACGUAGUGAAAUACUUUUUUUAAUAUUUAAUUAUUACUAACAAAAAUUUUUAAAUCUUAAUAUAAAACUAGGAUUAGAUACCCUACUAUUUUAGACUUAUCAUCUUAAUUAAUAAGAAGUAAAACUAUAUAGUUUAAACUUAAAAAUUAUGGCGGUUAUUUUAAUUUUUAGGGGAACUUACCAUAUAAUUGAUAACCACCAAGCUUAAUCUACUUAUUUUAAAAACAUGUAUACCGUUGUCUUCAUAGUUUUUUUAAAAAAAAACUACUAACUUUAGUUUAUAAAUAAAAGAUAAAUCAAGGUGCAGUAUAUUAAUAAGAACUAAGGUGAGUUACAAUAAACAUUUACUUCGGAUUAGUGUAUUUAAAUACCUAUAAAGUUGGACUUAAAAGUAAUAUAAUAAAUUUUAUUAUUAAAUAAUGAAUUUAUCUACAAUAAUGCA
Molecule: ribosomal RNA, 659 nt
Filed under: Agathylla lamellosa
Lineage: Eukaryota; Metazoa; Mollusca; Gastropoda; Stylommatophora; Clausiliidae
Description: partial 12S ribosomal RNA
Source: RNAcentral